CAGCAGCCACGGGAAUACAGAGGGUGCGAGCGUUAAUCGGAUUUACUGGGCGUAAAGCGUGCGUAGGCGGCUUCUUAAGUCGGAUGUGAAAUCCCUGAGCUUAACUUAGGAAUUGCAUUCGAUACUGGGAAGCUAGAGUAUGGGAGAGGAUGGUAGAAUUCCAGGUGUAGCGGUGAAAUGCGUAGAGAUCUGGAGGAAUACCGAUGGCGAAGGCAGCCAUCUGGCCUAAUACUGACGCUGAGGUACGAAAGCAUGGGGAGCAAACAGGAUUAGAUACCCGGGUAGUCCCUGUCUCUUAUAC
Molecule: ribosomal RNA, 301 nt
Filed under: uncultured bacterium
Lineage: Bacteria
Description: partial 16S ribosomal RNA
Rfam family: Bacterial small subunit ribosomal RNA
Source: RNAcentral